This 424-nucleotide ribosomal RNA is filed under the name uncultured bacterium. RNAcentral describes it as "bacterial SSU rRNA". It matches the Rfam family "Bacterial small subunit ribosomal RNA", at positions 355 to 774 of the family's 1533-position model. The record is from RNAcentral.
UGGGGAAUCUUGCGCAAUGGGCGAAAGCCUGACGCAGCGACGCCGCGUGAGUGAUGAAGGCCUUCGGGUCGUAAAGCUCUGUGGGGAGAGAAGAAGAAAGCCCGUGAAGAGCGGGCCUUGACGGUAUCUCCUUAGCAAGCACCGGCUAACUCCGUGCCAGCAGCCGCGGUAAGACAGAGGGUGCAAACGUUGUUCGGAAUUACUGGGCGUAAAGCGCGUGUAGGCGGCUCUGAUAAGUGAGGUGUGAAAGCCCUGGGCUCAACCCAGGAAGUGCACUUCAAACUAUCGAGCUUGAAUGCUGGAGAGGAAAGCGGAAUUCUCGGUGUAGAGGUGAAAUUCGUAGAUAUCGAGAGGAACACCCGUGGCGAAGGCGGCUUUCUGGACAGCGAUUGACGCUGAGACGCGAAAGCGUGGGGAGCAAACA